RNAcentral lists this ribosomal RNA (264 nucleotides) under Triticum aestivum (bread wheat). Its description in RNAcentral is "partial small subunit ribosomal RNA". Lineage: Eukaryota; Viridiplantae; Streptophyta; Magnoliopsida; Poales; Poaceae. The record is from RNAcentral.
AUGACUUGCAAUCCAAAAUGGGAAGAGAUAACGAAUGAGUUGCUGCCUGGUCAGACGGCGCAAGACCGACCUGAUAUUGUGGCUCGCGUGUUCUUUGGCAAACUAGAGGCUAUGAAGGACAUGUUGUUCAAGAAGCACAUCCUGGGUGUUGUCGUCGCAUAUGUAUAUGUUGUCGAGUUUCAAAAAAGGGGCCUCCCACACGCACAUUUUCUGUUGAUCAUGGACUCAACAUAUAAGCUUAUCGUCCCCGAGCAGUAUGACUGA